Molecule: long non-coding RNA, 297 nt
Filed under: Homo sapiens (human)
Lineage: Eukaryota; Metazoa; Chordata; Mammalia; Primates; Hominidae
Description: non-protein coding LINC01954:17
Source: RNAcentral
UGUCAGGGCCCUCACUGUGGAAGGAAGGUCCACAGAAAACAUCCUGGGGUCCUGAGCUGAAGUGUGAUGGGAGGAGUCCUCUGUAUCUCAGUCUGAUCCUGGUCUCCCUCUCGGCCAUGGUCUCACACUAGUGCUGCUGGGAAACCAUCCCUCACAUCCAGUCCUGGCAUCGGGCAGUGACUCUGGUCCAACUGUUGUCCAACUCAAGGGUUUAGCUGCUUAGAUUUUCCUAAAACUUGAAUUUCAUUUUCCUCUAGCCAUGGAAUACAGAUUAAUCCUUUACAAUUAAAAUCCAAG